This 90-nucleotide non-coding RNA is filed under the name Aurantimonas manganoxydans SI85-9A1. RNAcentral describes it as "Glycine riboswitch aptamer". It matches the Rfam family "Glycine riboswitch aptamer". From Rfam's summary of the family: This family represents the bacterial glycine riboswitch. Glycine riboswitches usually consist of two metabolite-binding aptamers domains with similar structures in tandem. Lineage: Bacteria; Pseudomonadati; Pseudomonadota; Alphaproteobacteria; Hyphomicrobiales; Aurantimonadaceae. The record is from Rfam by way of RNAcentral.
CAGACGCUAGCGGGAGAGACCGGCCGCAAGGCCGGCGCCGAAGGAGCAACCGCCCCGGAAACUCUCAGGCAAAAGGACCGCCUGCGUCUC